AUACCUUUCUCGGCCUUUUGGCUAAGAUCAAGUGUAGUAUCUGUUCUUAUCAGUUUAAUAUCUGAUAUGUGGGCAAUGUGCCCACAACGAUAUUAAAUUUAUUUUUUAUGGGGAGGGCUCACCACAGUGGCUUGCCACUGGGGCCCUCAGGUGUUGCCCAGUGCGUUGCACUAUUGCCUGGGCAGGCGCACCCCAA
This 196-nucleotide small nuclear RNA is filed under the name Triticum aestivum (bread wheat). RNAcentral's name for it is "snRNA U2". It matches the Rfam family "U2 spliceosomal RNA". From Rfam's summary of the family: U2 is a small nuclear RNA (snRNA) component of the spliceosome (involved in pre-mRNA splicing). The record is from Rfam by way of RNAcentral. Lineage: Eukaryota; Viridiplantae; Streptophyta; Magnoliopsida; Poales; Poaceae.